AAAGUCGUAACAAGGUCUCCGUUGGUGAACCAGCGGAGGGAUCAUUACCGAGUCUCGACGCUCAGACCCGACCGCGAACCCGAACCCGUUGCUUCGGCAGACUAAAAAAAAAAGGUCUGCCAAAGGUCUACUCUAUUAGGCUCUACAGCGGCCUGCCGCCGCGACCCUGUCCUCUGAAUUAGCUUCCAAAAAACUAGUUAAAACUUUCAACAACGGAUCUCUUGGUUCUG
RNAcentral lists this unclassified non-coding RNA (230 nucleotides) under Ascomycota sp. RNAcentral describes it as "partial contains small subunit ribosomal RNA, internal transcribed spacer 1, and 5.8S ribosomal RNA". The stretch from base 1 to 47 matches the Rfam family "Eukaryotic small subunit ribosomal RNA", at positions 1785 to 1831 of the family's 1831-position model. The record is from RNAcentral. Lineage: Eukaryota; Fungi; Ascomycota.